CAGGUAGCUGGGGCCAGUAAUUUUCUCCAGCCUGUGCUGCAAAAUUUACCUGAGCUCAUUUGUCAAGCUUUGAAUCCUUAAAUCCAUAACUCCAAUUAAUUAGGAAUCUCUAAUUACCCCAAAAUGGCACUCUGUAUUUAAGGCUAAGGUGUGGUGAAAUCCAGAGAAAGAAAACAUUAGAGAAGCUGGAGGAUAUUUAGAGCUGGAGAUGCUGGAAAAUGUGCAUUUUCAGAGCUCAGGGUACACAUAGGUGCAAAGGAAGCCCUGUGGCUCUACAUGUCAGUGGGACUGGAAGCAGGUCCUGAGCUGGUAGAAGCCACUGUCUGAUAUUCAGACAUCCAUCCUUGGGUGUCUCACAAGUUCCCUUUUUUCAGUAAGUAAUGACACCAAACCUCCCAGCAGGAGGUUCCUGCACCAGAGAUGUAUAACAAAGCAACCUUUAGGACUUAAGCCCAACUGUAUUUUCUGUUCCAGAAGCAGACUGGAUGAGGCUCUAGCUCUAUACAACUUUAAACCAGAAACCCCAAGGGGGAUGUUAUUGAAAACAACGGUGCAGACAGGUUCUGGCCCUGCCCUUGUAAGAGGAAAAAGCCCUUUCACAGUUGAGGUCUUAUUAUAUUAAGUUAAAAAUGUAUAGCUUUUAACUAGGUUGUAACCAGUUAAUGUGAUUCAGGAAAGGCUGUAAGGUGGAUAGAAGCUUUCCCUCUUUGCCUUGCUGCACAGGUUACUGUUUUUCCAGACCUCACAUGUGAGACCAGUUAACACAGGCUCAGCAAUUAGGCUGUGAAGUCACCUGAUUAAGUGAGGGGCAACAGCAGGUUUUGGGGCUGAUUGACUUCAGUAGGGCUGCAGCUAACAGCCUGAAACGCUACUUUCCCAGUUCUGCUGGGCUCCUUCUCUUGGACAAACCAGCACCAGCUUUUCAGCAAAGCUCUGAGUGGCAGCUCUUACUGCCUGGGAACAGACUCAUGUGGCCCAGUCAGGAGGAUGACAGCUCUGCACCACCGGUGGGGCUCCUGGUGGCCUGUCCCUGUGAUAUCCAGGCUGGGGGCCAUCAGUUGUGUUCCUCUGGAUUGCUUGUUGUCACUGAAGAUAGAUGCCUGGAGGUCUUGAUGGAACUUUCCCUCCCCAUUUCUCCUCCUCAGGCUCUCUUGUGCUGUGUUUUCAGGAGUGUUUACAUACAUCACAUAUACAAAACCACCAGGGACUUUACAAGACUCUAAAAUUGAUGUGGGUAACAUCCAGGUGUUUGUGUGACUGGUACUUACUGCACAAUGAGAAGUUGUUCUACUUUGGGAG
Molecule: long non-coding RNA, 1299 nt
Filed under: Coturnix japonica (Japanese quail)
Lineage: Eukaryota; Metazoa; Chordata; Aves; Galliformes; Phasianidae
Description: lncRNA (ENSCJPG00005007241.1)
Source: RNAcentral